UCUGCCCAUAGAGGUGUUACAGGUGUGGCUGCUGUGUCACAUGUGUGUCACAGUAGGUGGCAGAGAGGAGAGAGGCUAUGUCUAUGCUCAGUGUUCUGACCUAUGAACAUCUGAUGAUUAAUACUUUCUGU
Mastomys coucha (southern multimammate mouse) is the source of this 131-nucleotide small nucleolar RNA. RefSeq annotates it as small nucleolar RNA SNORA17. The transcript has a single exon. The record is from RefSeq and is a predicted model, not a curated record. NCBI's taxonomy places the organism in Eukaryota, Metazoa, Chordata, Mammalia, Rodentia, Muridae.